Molecule: unclassified non-coding RNA, 474 nt
Filed under: Hevea brasiliensis (rubber tree)
Lineage: Eukaryota; Viridiplantae; Streptophyta; Magnoliopsida; Malpighiales; Euphorbiaceae
Source: RNAcentral
GAUCCUAGUAGAAUUCCACAAUCAAGGAGAUUGAUCAUGACUUUCACAAUCCCUUCUUCAGCUAGAUUUUGUCUAACCUCUGGUACAACUGAUAUGUUCUUCAAAGUACAAGCAGCUGCAGCCUGUGAUACUGAAUCGCCAGUUCUACAAAUUUCAAUCAGUGGUCGAACUCCACCAUGUCCAACAAUUGACCUAGCUGUUUCUGUUGUCAUAGACAAUCUCUGGAGCGAGAUCGUAGCCUUCUCUCUGCCCACUGUGCUACCGGACUCGACAAGCCUUAUUAGAGGCGGCAAAACACCUUCAGAAACAAGCCAAUUCUCACAACUCCCAGAUUCUGCAAGCGAACAGAUUACAGUAACAGUCUUUUCCCGAAUACGAGGGGAGGUUGCUGUUAAUAGCUGGACCAGAGCAGCAAUAUUACUCCGGCCCAGAACAGCCAAAACGGUCUUGUCAUCCUCUUUCAUGACCUCAACG